GAUGAACGCUGGCGGCGUGCCUAAUACAUGCAAGUCGAGCGAACGGACGAGAAGCUUGCUUCUCUGAUGUUAGCGGCGGACGGGUGAGUAACACGUGGAUAACCUACCUAUAAGACUGGGAUAACUUCGGGAAACCGGAGCUAAUACCGGAUGAUAUUUUGAACCGCAUGGUUCAAAAGUGAAAGACGGUCUUGCUGUCACUUAUAGAUGGAUCCGCGCUGCAUUAGCUAGUUGGUAAGGUAACGGCUUACCAAGGCAACGAUGCAUAGCCGACCUGAGAGGGUGAUCGGCCACACUGGAACUGAGACACGGUCCCGACUCCUACGGGAGGCAGGCGUUGGGAAUCUUUCGGCAUUGGCGAAAGGCUGACGGAGCAACGCCGCGUGAGUGAUGAAGGUCCUCGGUUUGUAAAACUCUGUUAUUAGGGAAGAACAUAUGUGUAAGUAACUGUGCACAUCUUGACGGUACCUAAUCAGAAAGCCACGGCUAACUACGUG
This 497-nucleotide ribosomal RNA is filed under the name uncultured bacterium. RNAcentral describes it as "partial 16S ribosomal RNA". It matches the Rfam family "Bacterial small subunit ribosomal RNA", at positions 28 to 507 of the family's 1533-position model. The record is from RNAcentral.